RNAcentral lists this ribosomal RNA (2035 nucleotides) under Parcubacteria group bacterium GW2011_GWB1_41_5. Its description in RNAcentral is "partial 23S ribosomal RNA". It matches the Rfam family "Bacterial large subunit ribosomal RNA", at positions 15 to 1875 of the family's 2925-position model. The record is from RNAcentral.
AUGCAUACGGUGGAUGCCUUGGUCGAAAGUACCGAUGAAGGACGUAACAAGCUGCGAUAAGCUUUGGGGAGCUGCUAAUAAGCUUUGAUCCAGAGAUUUCCGAAUAAAGUAAUUACCCCGCCUCGGCGGGGGAUCCCUACAUGAAUACAUAGUGUCGGGAGGGGUACGCGCCGAACUGAAACAUCUAAGUAAGCGCAGGAAAAUAAAUCAACAGAGAUUCCCCCAGUAGCGGCGAGCGAAAAGGGAGGAGCCCAAACCCUUCGAGUAAUCGAAGGGGGUUGUAGGAAUCCAAUAUCUGACCUUUAAUGGUAGCUAAAUACACUGGAAAGUGUAACCAAAGAGAGUGAGAGUCUCGUAAGCGAAACCAAAAAAGGCGGUAGGAUCACCUGAGUAGCACAGGACACGUGUAAUCCUGUGUGAAUCCAGCAAGACCACUUGCUAAGGCUAAAUAUACUUUCGGACCGAUAGUGAACUAGUACCGCGAGGGAAAGGUGAAAAGAAGAGCGAAACGCUCAGUGAAAUAGUACCUGAAACCGUAUGUUGACAAGCAGUGGAAGUGUGCGUUGCGCAUAGGAUAUAAGGAGAAGGAUAGAAGUGAUCAGUCAAAAUUGACUAAUCAUUACUUCCUAUGAUCCUUCUAUCUUGCGCGCAGCGCAUACGACCGCGUGCCUAUUGAAGAAUGAACCGGUGAGUUACCGCAUCCCUUUUGCUUAAGCCAUUUUGUGGCGGAAGCGUAGUGAAAGCGAGGGUUAAUAGCGUAUCAAUAACUUGGGAUGAGAUGUGGUUAGAGGUGAUAUGCCUAACGAACUCGGAGAUAGCUGGUUCUCCUCGAAAUAUAUCUAGGUAUAGCCUGAAAGGUAAGCACAGGGGUAGAGCACUGGAUCGAUUUUUCAGCGUAAGCUGGAAGAUUGAAUCAAACUCCGAAUACUGUGCCAAUUACUUUCAGAGUCAGUCCGAUCCGGCUAAGCGGAGCGGGCCUGAGGGAAACAUCCCAGACCAACAGCUAAGGUCCCUAAAUGCAAGUUAAGUGUUAAAGGAAGUCAUAUUCCUUAGACAGCCAGGAAGUUGGCUUAGAAGCAGCCAUCUUUUAAAGAUAGCGUAACAGCUCGCUGGUCUAGUCACGGAGUGUGGCACCGACAAUGAAUCGGGGCUAAACUUGCUACCGAAGCUUUGGGUCUUGUGCUUCGCACAGAGGAUAUUAGGAAGAAGGAUAGUAGUAACUAGUCUUUUUGAUUAAUCACUGCUUCCUGUUAUCCUACUAUCUUUUGUGUGGAGCACGAGGCGGUAGAGGAGCGUUCUAUACGGAGUGAAUAGUUGUCGUAAGGCGACUUGGACUGUAUAGAAGUGAGAAUGCCGGUAUGAGUAGCGAAUUUACGUGAGAAACGUAAUCGCCGAAUGCCCAAGGUUUCCCACGCAAUGUUAAUCAGCGUGGGGUUAAUCGGUCCUAAGGUCAGUCCUCCUUUUGGAGGAGUAGCCGAUGGAUUACAGGUUAAAAUUCCUGUAUUGAGGUUGUUCUGACAAGUCCUCUUGUGCUUCGCACAGAGGAUAUUAGGAAGAAGGAUAGUAGUAACUAGUCUUUUUGAUUAAUCACUGCUUCCUGUUAUCCUACUAUCUUUUGUGCGGAGUGCAAGUAAGGAGCUUUCAAGGGUGAACGAAGUGGAAUAGUCAAGUCAGGCAAUGCCUGAUUUAAAUAGCAAGCAAGUAGAAAUCGGCAAAUCCGUUUUUAUGUUUAUGUGAGCUAUGAUGACGUAAGUUGACGAUUUUCUGUUUCCAGGAAAAGACUCGUGUAAGAGAACAAUUUUAACCGUACCGUAAACCGACACAGGUGGGCGAGUUGAGUAUACAAAGGCGAUCGGGAGAACUAUCCUUAAGGAACUCGGCAACGAAAGCUGGACGUAACCUUUGGGAGAUGUCCUGGUCCGACGUAACGUCGGACUUACAACAAAAGACGCUAAGCGACUGUUUAACAAAAACACAGGUCCCUGCUAAAUCGAAAGAUGAUGUAUAGGGGCUGACACCUGCCCAGUGCCAGUAA